This 396-nucleotide unclassified non-coding RNA is filed under the name Hevea brasiliensis (rubber tree). Lineage: Eukaryota; Viridiplantae; Streptophyta; Magnoliopsida; Malpighiales; Euphorbiaceae. The record is from RNAcentral.
CUCAUUUCAAUGAUUGAUGAGUUUGGCCAUGUUCUGAAUGGUGCCAGAUCUUACUACACCAACAGAAGUCAGCCUCCCCUUUUGAGUUCAAUGGUUUAUGAUAUAUACCUUAGGACAGGGGAUUUAGAGUUUGUGAGCAAUGCACUCCCAGCCUUAAUUAAAGAGCAUAAGUUUUGGAAUUCAGGAUUCCAUUCCAUUACUGUCCGGGAUGCUCCUGGUGGAAAUGGAAAUCACUCUUUAUCUAGAUACUAUGCAAUGUGGAACGAGCCGAGGCCAGAAUCGUCACUGCUGGAUGUGAAACUUGCCUCAAAGUUUGUUAAUAACUAUGAGAAACAACAUCUAUACCGGGAAAUUGCAUCGGCAGCUGAAUCCGGUUGGGAUUUCAGUACAAGAUGG